RNAcentral lists this transfer RNA (77 nucleotides) under Candidatus Saccharimonadota bacterium. RNAcentral's name for it is "tRNA-Lys". It matches the Rfam family "tRNA". Rfam says of the family: Transfer RNA (tRNA) molecules are approximately 80 nucleotides in length. Their secondary structure includes four short double-helical elements and three loops (D, anti-codon, and T loops). The record is from RNAcentral. Lineage: Bacteria; Candidatus Saccharimonadota. RNAcentral also lists the same sequence under 3 other names.
GGGCCGGUAGCUCAGCCAGGCAGAGCAGCUGCCUUUUAAGCAGAAGGUCCUGGGUUCGAUUCCCAGCCGGCCCACCA